RNAcentral lists this ribosomal RNA (434 nucleotides) under uncultured bacterium. RNAcentral describes it as "partial 16S ribosomal RNA". It matches the Rfam family "Bacterial small subunit ribosomal RNA", at positions 29 to 507 of the family's 1533-position model. The record is from RNAcentral.
AGCGAACGCUGGCGGCAGGCCUAACACAUGCAAGUGGAACGAACCUUUCGGGGUUAGUGGCGGACGGGUGAGUAACACGUGGGAACGUGCCUUUAGGUUCGGAAUAACUCAGGGAAACUUGUGCUAAUACCGAAUGUGCCCUUCGGGGGAAAGAUUUAUCGCCUUUAGAGCGGCCCGCGUCUGAUUAGCUAGUUGGUUGAGGUAAUGGCUCACCAAGGCGACGAUCAGUAGCUGGUCUGAGAGGAUGAUCAGCCACAUUGGGACUGAGACACGGCCCAAACUCCUACGGGAGGCAGCAGUGGGGAAUCUUGCGCAAUGGGCGAAAGCCUGACGCAGCCAUGCCGCGUGAAUGAUGAAGGUCUUAGGAUUGUAAAAUUCUUUCACCGGGGACGAUAAUGACGGUACCCGGAGAAGAAGCCCCGGCUAACUUCGUG